This 253-nucleotide ribosomal RNA is filed under the name uncultured bacterium. Its description in RNAcentral is "partial 16S ribosomal RNA". It matches the Rfam family "Bacterial small subunit ribosomal RNA", at positions 524 to 776 of the family's 1533-position model. The record is from RNAcentral.
UACAGAGGGUGCAAGCGUUAAUCGGAAUUACUGGGCGUAAAGGGCGCGUAGGUGGUCUUGUAAGUGAGAUGUGAAAUCCCUGGGCUUAACCUAGGAAUUGCAUCUUAUACUGUCGAACUGGAGUGCUGUAGAGGGUAGUGGAAUUUCCGGUGUAGCGGUGAAAUGCGUAGAUAUCGGAAGGAACACCAGUGGCGAAGGCGGCUACCUGGCUUGAUACUGACACUGAGGCGCGAGAGCGUGGGGAGCAAACAGG